UCCCAGGUGGCUCAGUGGUAAAGAAUCUGCCUGCGAUGCAGCAGACGCGGGUUCGAUCCCUGGGUUGGGAA
Molecule: transfer RNA, 71 nt
Filed under: Bos taurus (domestic cattle)
Lineage: Eukaryota; Metazoa; Chordata; Mammalia; Artiodactyla; Bovidae
Also listed under: 5 other names
Rfam family: tRNA
About the family: Transfer RNA (tRNA) molecules are approximately 80 nucleotides in length. Their secondary structure includes four short double-helical elements and three loops (D, anti-codon, and T loops).
Source: Rfam by way of RNAcentral